ACAAAUCAAGACUAGUUAGAUCCUUCAAACUCACCAACGAGUCAAUAAAGUGUAACCUAAUGUUGUCAUGGCUUUGAUAUGAUAUCCAUCUAACAGAUAGAGACUUCAAAGUUGGUCUCUCGAGGAUGGCGGCGGAUGCAAUGCCGUCAUUAGUUAAGAUUGGCCAUUCCAUCAUGAUAAACUCUUCAAGAAACACACAAUUCGUUCAAAAUCCAAAGUGACGGAUCCUUCAAUACAUAGGAAUGACCGGAGAGAUUAAUCUUGCGGAGCUUCCGGCUGACAUAACAAUUACCCCAAUAUACAUACGGUCAAAAUCUAUAAAAGAGAAAGGGUGUCAAGUUCUUCAAGGUGAGGGAAACAACCAGAUAUAAGAGUUAUGUCUUCGUUAUGGAUAAAAUAAACGUUGAAACAAAUGAGAGAGGUCAAAGUUGUAAUCUUUUUGGAGAAAGCUCUUAACCCAUUUGAGGGGAUGGCCUGUUGGUUAGAGAGAUUGAGUGAUGUGAGGUUCAAUCAGAAACAAGAUAUUUGAGAGAGAAGUGCUUUGAGGUCACCGCGGAAGCAUGUAAGGUUGAGGGAUGUAAGAUUGGUGAACCUUUUGAAGAGGCAAUGAUAGUGAGUGAGAGAAACCUUUUAGAGACCACAGAGAAAGAUUCCAUGUAACGGUGGUUGUCUUUACUGUCGUCGGCGUGGUUGAGGAAUACUCAUCCGGAAAAUAAAAAUCUGGUUCUUCAACCAUUGUGGAAGAAACAAAGUGUUGAAAGAAUUGGAGAGAGUUGUUCUGGUGAGUGAAUGAAGCUAUGUGUUAUGGGUGCAGCAAUGGCUGUCGUUUCACGAUUUGUGGAUGUCUUCCCAAAUUUGAGGGGUUUAGGAUUAGGGUUCUUUUCUUCUGACGCAAGGUUUAGGUUAGGUUCCAAAGUUCAUAUUCAAACUAUAUAUAAUAAUAUAUAAAUGUUAAGAAUAUGUUUGUGAAGGUCAAUAAAUUAGAUUAUAGCUUAUGGCUUUUAGCUUAUAAGCUAAAAGUUUUGUUUGGU
Molecule: long non-coding RNA, 1031 nt
Filed under: Trifolium pratense (red clover)
Lineage: Eukaryota; Viridiplantae; Streptophyta; Magnoliopsida; Fabales; Fabaceae
Description: long non-coding RNA (TPRA_LNC013638)
Source: RNAcentral